CCACUGAUUGCCUAGUACGGCGAGUGAAGCGGCAACAGCUCAAAUUUGAAAGCUAGCCUUCGGGUUCGCAUUGUAAUUUGUAGAGGAUGCUUUGGGUAAAACGCCAGUCUAAGUUCCUUGGAACAGGACGUCAUAGAGGGUGAGAAUCCCGUAUGUGACUGGAAAUGUUAACCUAUGUAAAGCUCCUUCGACGAGUCGAGUUGUUUGGGAAUGCAGCUCUAAAUGGGAGGUAAAUUUCUUCUAAAGCUAAAUAUUGGCGAGAGACCGAUAGCGCACAAGUAGAGUGAUCGAAAGAUGAAAAGCACUUUGGAAAGAGAGUUAAAAAGCACGUGAAAUUGUUGAAAGGGAAGCGCUUGCAAUCAGACUUGUUUAAACUGUUCGGCCGGUCUUCUGACCGGUUUACUCAGUUUGGACAGGCCAGCAUCAGUUUCGGCGGCCGGAUAAAGGCUCUGGGAAUGUGGCCUCCACUUCGGUGGAGGUGUUAUAGCCCAGUGUGUAAUACGGCCAGCCGGGACUGAGGUCCGCGCUUCGGCUAGGAUGCUGGCGUAAUGGUUGUAAGCGACCCGUCUUGAACC
This 575-nucleotide ribosomal RNA is filed under the name Aureobasidium sp. YM24400. Its description in RNAcentral is "eukaryotic LSU rRNA". It matches the Rfam family "Eukaryotic large subunit ribosomal RNA", at positions 68 to 660 of the family's 3401-position model. Lineage: Eukaryota; Fungi; Ascomycota; Dothideomycetes; Dothideales; Saccotheciaceae. The record is from RNAcentral.